Molecule: ribosomal RNA, 157 nt
Filed under: uncultured bacterium
Lineage: Bacteria
Description: partial 16S ribosomal RNA
Rfam family: Bacterial small subunit ribosomal RNA
Source: RNAcentral
UGGCAGGUCAGCAUACUGCCGUGAAUACGUUCCCGGGCCUUGUACACACCGCCCGUCACACCAUGAGAGUUGGGAAUACCCGAAGCCUGUGAGCUAACGUAAGAGGCAGCAGUCGAAGGUAGAAUCAAUGAUUGGGGUGAAGUCGUAACAAGGUAAC